RNAcentral lists this long non-coding RNA (758 nucleotides) under Triticum aestivum (bread wheat). RNAcentral describes it as "long non-coding RNA (TAES_LNC024761)". The record is from RNAcentral. Lineage: Eukaryota; Viridiplantae; Streptophyta; Magnoliopsida; Poales; Poaceae.
UUGUUUUCUUGCCACAGCACCGCAACAGUGCAGGCCGGCCGGGGCUCCCACUGCACCACAGCACACGGCGGCGGAGGGGAGUUGAGGAGAGGCGAUGGGGAUCCACCUGCUGGCGUUCGUCGGGGCGAGGAUCAUCGUGCAGGUGUUCCAGGUCUCGGCGCCGCUGCUGUGGCCGCUCAACGUCUGGCUACCGCUCGUGCGCCGCUUGCCCGAGGCCUGCACCGUCGCCCGCGCCGCGCUUGCCAUCCCGGCGGCCCUGUCUGAAGCCGCCACGACGACGGGGUCUACCGCCGGCGGUGCUCGACGUCGCCUACUACUGAGAUGCUGGAACCGUUCGAGACUUGGAGGCAGUAGCAGUGUUAAUAAUUUUCUCAAGUAGAGCAGAGGUGGUCAGUGGCGGAGCCAGGAAUUAAGGAUCAGGGGGCCAAAUAACUGAAACUUUUGAUAACAGGGAUCAAACAAUACUAAUACAUGUAUUUUUUAUAAAUUAUACACUGUUCAUCUGCUAAUUAGCAGCAUUAGUGUCUUAGGGGGGCCAGGGCCCUGCCCCCCGUCGCCGCCACUGAAGGUAGUGGUUAAUUUCAGUUUGUUCUUUUGGUUUCUUUUUCUUGGACUAGAUAAAUUAGCUGCAUGCUUGUGUCUUCUUAGCAAUGCCUGGUCUGAGUGUGGGCUGUAAUUAACCAGGAUUCACAAGUAGUACGAGUGAUUUGUUCAUCCACGCUUCUUUUUUGGCGACGAUGAAUACAGUGGAAUGCUAG